Molecule: ribosomal RNA, 1511 nt
Filed under: Klebsiella quasipneumoniae
Lineage: Bacteria; Pseudomonadati; Pseudomonadota; Gammaproteobacteria; Enterobacterales; Enterobacteriaceae
Description: bacterial SSU rRNA
Rfam family: Bacterial small subunit ribosomal RNA
Source: RNAcentral
AGAGUUUGAUCAUGGCUCAGAUUGAACGCUGGCGGCAGGCCUAACACAUGCAAGUCGAGCGGUAGCACAGAGAGCUUGCUCUCGGGUGACGAGCGGCGGACGGGUGAGUAAUGUCUGGGAAACUGCCUGAUGGAGGGGGAUAACUACUGGAAACGGUAGCUAAUACCGCAUAACGUCGCAAGACCAAAGUGGGGGACCUUCGGGCCUCAUGCCAUCAGAUGUGCCCAGAUGGGAUUAGCUAGUAGGUGGGGUAACGGCUCACCUAGGCGACGAUCCCUAGCUGGUCUGAGAGGAUGACCAGCCACACUGGAACUGAGACACGGUCCAGACUCCUACGGGAGGCAGCAGUGGGGAAUAUUGCACAAUGGGCGCAAGCCUGAUGCAGCCAUGCCGCGUGUGUGAAGAAGGCCUUCGGGUUGUAAAGCACUUUCAGCGGGGAGGAAGGCGANNGAUUGACGUUACCCGCAGAAGAAGCACCGGCUAACUCCGUGCCAGCAGCCGCGGUAAUACGGAGGGUGCAAGCGUUAAUCGGAAUUACUGGGCGUAAAGCGCACGCAGGCGGUCUGUCAAGUCGGAUGUGAAAUCCCCGGGCUCAACCUGGGAACUGCAUUCGAAACUGGCAGGCUAGAGUCUUGUAGAGGGGGGUAGAAUUCCAGGUGUAGCGGUGAAAUGCGUAGAGAUCUGGAGGAAUACCGGUGGCGAAGGCGGCCCCCUGGACAAAGACUGACGCUCAGGUGCGAAAGCGUGGGGAGCAAACAGGAUUAGAUACCCUGGUAGUCCACGCCGUAAACGAUGUCGAUUUGGAGGUUGUGCCCUUGAGGCGUGGCUUCCGGAGCUAACGCGUUAAAUCGACCGCCUGGGGAGUACGGCCGCAAGGUUAAAACUCAAAUGAAUUGACGGGGGCCCGCACAAGCGGUGGAGCAUGUGGUUUAAUUCGAUGCAACGCGAAGAACCUUACCUGGUCUUGACAUCCACAGAACUUAGCAGAGAUGCUUUGGUGCCUUCGGGAACUGUGAGACAGGUGCUGCAUGGCUGUCGUCAGCUCGUGUUGUGAAAUGUUGGGUUAAGUCCCGCAACGAGCGCAACCCUUAUCCUUUGUUGCCAGCGGUUAGGCCGGGAACUCAAAGGAGACUGCCAGUGAUAAACUGGAGGAAGGUGGGGAUGACGUCAAGUCAUCAUGGCCCUUACGACCAGGGCUACACACGUGCUACAAUGGCAUAUACAAAGAGAAGCGACCUCGCGAGAGCAAGCGGACCUCAUAAAGUAUGUCGUAGUCCGGAUUGGAGUCUGCAACUCGACUCCAUGAAGUCGGAAUCGCUAGUAAUCGUAGAUCAGAAUGCUACGGUGAAUACGUUCCCGGGCCUUGUACACACCGCCCGUCACACCAUGGGAGUGGGUUGCAAAAGAAGUAGGUAGCUUAACCUUCGGGAGGGCGCUUACCACUUUGUGAUUCAUGACUGGGGUGAAGUCGUAACAAGGUAACCGUAGGGGAACCUGCGGUUGGAUCACCU